RNAcentral lists this ribosomal RNA (253 nucleotides) under uncultured bacterium. RNAcentral describes it as "partial 16S ribosomal RNA". It matches the Rfam family "Bacterial small subunit ribosomal RNA", at positions 524 to 776 of the family's 1533-position model. The record is from RNAcentral.
UACGUAGGGUGCGAGCGUUGCCCGGAUUUAUUGGGCGUAAAGGGCGCGUAGGCGGUCACGCACGUCCGUUGUGAAAUCGCUCGGCUUAACUGGGCGGGGUCAGCGGAUACGGCGUGGCUGGAGCAAGCUAGGGGGCAAUGGAAUUCCCGGUGUAGUGGUGGAAUGCGUAGAUAUCGGGAGGAACACCAGUGGCGAAGGCGGUUGCCUGGAGCUUUGCUGACGCUGAUGCGCGAAAGCGUGGGGAGCGAUCCGG